Homo sapiens (human) is the source of this 346-nucleotide long non-coding RNA. RefSeq lists it as uncharacterized. The record is from RefSeq and is a predicted model, not a curated record. The transcript is spliced from 3 exons. Lineage: Eukaryota; Metazoa; Chordata; Mammalia; Primates; Hominidae.
CAUUUUCCUGAGCUCACUGAGCACCUUAAUGUCUGUCAUUUUAAAUUUUUUCACAGAUAAUCUAUAUACUUUCACUUCUUUAUGACCAGUUUCUAGAGUUUUAGUUUGGAAUGGACCACGUUUUAUUGUUUUACCAUGCGUCUUGUAACUUUUUGUUGAAAUUCAUUCAUUUGAAAAACAACCACUUCUCCCCAUCUUUGAAGAUAGACAUCAUACAGGGAGAAGACAGAAACUGGAAGUUCCUUCUCAAUUGGACUUUACUGAGCUAGCAGGUAUCAUUGAUGAAGUCAUGUUUUCCAAAACUCUUUGUGUGAAUUCUGUGCACUACUGGAGCAAGCACGAUGGC